Molecule: unclassified non-coding RNA, 236 nt
Filed under: plant metagenome
Description: partial contains small subunit ribosomal RNA, internal transcribed spacer 1, and 5.8S ribosomal RNA
Source: RNAcentral
UUUCCGUAGGUGAACCUGCGGAAGGAUCAUUACUGAGUGAGGGCCCCUCGGGGUCCAACCUCCCACCCGUGUUUAACGAACCUUGUUGCUUCGGCGGGCCCGCCUCACGGCCGCCGGGGGGCAUCUGCCCCCGGGCCCGCGCCCGCCGAAGCCACCUGUGAACGCUGUCUGAAGCAUGCAGUCUGAGACAAUUAUUAAAUUAAUUAAAACUUUCAACAACGGAUCUCUUGGUUCCG